GGCGGGAUGCGGCGGUGCCGGGCGGCGGCGCUGGCGGGGCUGGCCGCGGUGCUCCUGGCAGCUGUGGGCAGAGCCCAGGUGCAGCAGGACCCGUCGGCAGAGACCACCGAGGGCACCGCCAUCAGCAUUAACUGCUCACACCCCAACAAACAGUCAAACGAGUUCAUCCACUGGUACCGUCAACUCCCAGGCCGCGGCCCCGCAUUCCUCGUGAGCGCUCUUCAAGGGUCCAAAGAGGUGCUGGACCCGCCGGGGCGGCUGUCGGUGGCGGCAGACCGCCGGUCCAGCGCCCUGUGGCUCGCCCGGCCCCGGCUCGGCGACGCGGCGGUGUAUUACUGCGGCCAGGACACACGGCGAGAGGAGCCGGGGCUGCGGCCGAGCACGAACCGCCGCGGGCGGGGCCGGGCGCGUGUGUCGGGGGCGCGGGACAGCUCCGGCCGGGCCCGCCAGGCGGCGCUGCUGCUCCGCCCGGCACCGGCAUCGGGCCCCUCGAGGCCCCGCAUCCCCGGCGCAUCCUCCCGACGCGGCUCCGGAGACGCGCUCCGGGCAGAAACCUGUUUCCGUUCCUCACUCCCUGCUCAGCCACACAGUCCCACCGGGGCGCAGACUGAAAUCCCCUCGAUAGUGCUGAUGAGGGAGGAAUCGCGAUAGGAGCGGUGGCAGCCAAGAACAACAACUUCCUCCUGGCCUGGAUCAGAAAUAGUGUGGCCCGGAGGACCAGGGAAGCGAUCGUCCCUGUGUACUGGCCUCUGGCAGAGAGUGGUGGUGGCUGGUCUCUUCUCCCAGGUAACGAGUGAUAGGGCAGGAGGAAAUGGCCUCGAGCUGCACCAGGGGAGAUUUAGACUGAAGAUUAGGAACAGUUUCUUCCCCAAAGGGUGCUCAGGCAUUGGAACAGGCUGCCCAGGGCAGUGGUGGGAUCAUCAAUCAUCCCUGGAAGUGUUCACAAACCAUGCAGAUGAGGUCCUCAGUGACAUGGGGUAGUGGUGGCCUUGGCAGUGCUGGGGAAUGGUUGGACUUGAUGAUCUUUAAGGUCUUUUCCAAUCCAGUUGAUU
Non-coding RNA from Strigops habroptila (Kakapo), 1052 nucleotides. The record is from the annotation of a RefSeq genome assembly. NCBI's taxonomy places the organism in Eukaryota, Metazoa, Chordata, Aves, Psittaciformes, Psittacidae.